GGCAAUCUCUUGCUCGGCGUGUCUAGUGGUGCGUUGCCCUUUUAAAAAAGCUCCAUCUUUCCAUUCGCUUGGUGACGUCAGGACAGUGAAGGACUCUAGCCUAUCCUCUCUAAACAAUCAAGGCAAUGGUCCUGACUGAGUCGCGGCUUACGAGUGAGACUUUUUCACUGCAAAAGCCAGGGAAAAACACUCCACGUUGAAAUGAACCAGAGGCCAGCAGUCGCUAUGGAUUAAAACGAAAACUUUUACGAUGGCUGUUAAUGUGAAAAAGUAGGCAAAACAUCAGCAGACCUUCAGCAAGCAACUAGAUGCACGAGCCUUGCUAGUAUGAGCGAGCAGAGCGGUCACAAACCUGGCUGCAGUAUUUUCCUCUGUAUUUUAACCGAAUCAGCCUCCUUAAACCUUUAACGACUUGUGUUACUUUAAAUUCUAAAACAGUCAAAGUCCGGUACACUUUUGAUUCUGAAAGAGUUAUGGCGGGGAAGGUGACAGCAGGCUCGGGAAUACUGCUCGUGACAGCCAACGUUGGAUCGCUCUUUGAAGAUCCUGAUAACCUACAGAAGACAUGGCUGCGGGAAUUCUACCAGACUGUUCAAUCACACAGGCCCCACUUCAUCGCAGUGCACUGUCAAGAGGUGGGCGGGAAGAACUACGAAGCGUCCAUGUCACACGUGGAUUGUUUUGUCAAGGAGCUGCUGUCCAGUGAUGCCAUGAAGGAGUACAACAGAGUCCGUGUCUACCUCGACGAGAACUACAAAUCCCAGGAGCAUUUCACAGCACUAGGAAGUUGCUACUUCCUUCACGAAUCAUUGAAAAACAUCCAGCAGUUUGAUUUCAAAGCCAAGAAAUUCAAGAAGGUGGUUGGGAAAGAGAUCUACUCAGACACACUAGAGAGCACACCCAUGUUGGAGAAGGAGAAGUUUCCUCAGGACUACUUCCCUGAGUGCAAGUGGUCCAGAAAAGGCUUUAUCAGGACUCGAUGGGCUCUGGCUGACUGUGCUUUUGACCUGGUCAACAUCCACUUGUUCCACGAUGCCUCCAACAUACUGAAGGCCCUGGGCUUCGUCUUAGAUAGGAUCACUGACCAGAGGUUUGAAAAGGUGCCAUAUUUUGUCUUCGGAGACUUCAACUUCAGGUUGGAUACAAGGCAGGUUGUUGAGAGUCUGUGCUCCACUGCCACCAUGCAGACGGUCAGACUAGGUGACACCAAUGAAGUUGACAAGCUAAUAUUCAGAGAAUCUGAGAACGAUCGCAAGGUUGUACUUCAACUUGAAAAGAAGCUUUUCAAUUAUAUUAACCAGGAUGUUUUCCGGGAAAACAAUGGGACCCUGUUUUUACAGUUUGACAGUGAGCUGUCCUGUUUCAAGGAACGGCUGCACGAGCUGGAGAUAUCCUUUCCUCCCAGUUAUCCGUACAGUGAAGACAGCAGUCAGGGAAAGCAGUACAUGAACACUAGAUGCCCUGCCUGGUGUGACCGCGUCCUUAUGUCUGCCACAGCUAAAGACCUGGUCUUAAAGCCUGAAAAUGAGGAGAAGAACUUGGUCUAUGACAAUAUAGGGCCCAACGUCUGCAUGGGGGACCAUAAGCCUGUCUACCUGUCCUUUCGUUUAACAACCGGGGCAGGUAAAGCUAAUGCAAAUAAGCACAAGUGUUGUAACGUGCAGUGAUGUCUUG
This is a long non-coding RNA of Oncorhynchus tshawytscha (Chinook salmon), 1674 nucleotides long. The record is from Ensembl. Lineage: Eukaryota; Metazoa; Chordata; Actinopteri; Salmoniformes; Salmonidae.